This is a long non-coding RNA of Vollenhovia emeryi, 350 nucleotides long. RefSeq lists it as uncharacterized. NCBI's taxonomy places the organism in Eukaryota, Metazoa, Arthropoda, Insecta, Hymenoptera, Formicidae. The transcript has 3 exons. The record is from RefSeq and is a predicted model, not a curated record.
GAAUGGAAUUAUGGAACGAAUUAAUGACAGGUAGUGUAGGUCUUUCUUAUGUAUAGUUUUGUAUUAUUUUUUGAGCUCCAUUAAUAUUGUUGAUAACAAUAAUUUCUUUUUGUUAUUAGUUUUUCAAGGUCUAAAACUGAUUAUCUGUUUUUAGAUAAUUCCAAAGAUCUUCUGAAGAAGUGUAAUAAUCAACUAGAAUAUACUCAGUCUUCCAGUUCUAGUAGCAGUAAAAAGACCCAAUCAUCUCAACGACGAAGUGAUUUUAAUCGCACUGAUGGAAGUGACAUAAUAAUAAAUGAUGAUUUGCCUAUUAUUAACGACAUUCCUUUAGGAGCAACCGUAUUAAACAU